CUCCCUCGCGCACCCGAGCCCAUCCCGACGCCGCCUCCUUUCUCCUCCUCUCUGCCCUAACCGCCGGCCGGCGGUUUCUCUUCAUCUCCUCUGCCGACGCCGUCGCCGUGCCCUAGCACAAGCCACCACCGGUCGGGCUGUGUACCUCACCCUCCCGAGACACUUCGGCCACAGGAGUAAGAGCCGGCCUCUCCACGCCGCGCUCUAAGUUUUCAGCGCCGACCACCACCGGCCAUAUCUUCUCUUAUUCCCUUACUAUGCCGUGCCCUAGUAUUGGGUUUGCAUCUGCUGCCGCUUGAUAUCUUCUCCCCUCUGCCGGUCCAUCUCUCCUUCUCCUCCUUUCCGAGCCGCACCAGGCGCCGCCACCACCUGAGGCUGAACGGAGCAACGCCUGACCUAGGGUUUCCGGCAGUGGGCUGAUACCUGAUUAUUCCAGCCACUGCUGGUUGCUACCAUCGCCGGAAAAGAAGUGACAGUGGUGUGAAGCUAUUGGAUUCCGGCUACCACAACAUUGAAUGCCUUGGUUGUUUCCUUGAUAUCCAACUUUGAUCCGAUCAGUGAAAGGACUUUGACGCGAGACGAGUAUCUCGAUGUCGGAUUUGGACAUUCCUAUUGGAGGCGGG
Molecule: long non-coding RNA, 623 nt
Organism: Zingiber officinale
Lineage: Eukaryota; Viridiplantae; Streptophyta; Magnoliopsida; Zingiberales; Zingiberaceae
Exons: 3
Source: RefSeq, a predicted model, not a curated record